This is a long non-coding RNA of Macadamia integrifolia, 903 nucleotides long. RefSeq lists it as uncharacterized. The transcript is spliced from 3 exons. Lineage: Eukaryota; Viridiplantae; Streptophyta; Magnoliopsida; Proteales; Proteaceae. The record is from RefSeq and is a predicted model, not a curated record.
UUUGAUUAAAUAAUCAAUUAAUGAUUUUGAGGGUUCUUGACGUUUAGAUAGGUUCUAGAGAAUGAGGAAAAGGGUUGAGACAACUUAGAAAGAUGGAUUAAGAGUAAAUUAUAUUAAUUGUUUGGAUUUUACAAGGCAAACAAUAAAAUAGAUAGUUGAAAAUCCGAAUUCAAUAUGCAUUUGUAUCCGUUUAGGGGUAUCUAUAUCUAGUCAGGAAAUAUCCAGAUUUGAUCACAUCGAAUCCGUUUACAUCUCUACACCUCCCUGUUUGAUGCUUAGAAGUGUACUCCCAUUGGCCUCCACAAUGGCAUAGGGGCCACCUGACCAAGCAGCAUUCUCUUCCAUUGAAAAAAUGGGUGCUAAGGGAAAGCGGCAACGUUUGCUUGCACGAUAUGGUACUCUCACAAUAUAUGCCUGUGCAUCAGCAUAUUACUAUCAUAGUUCGGCCAGAGCUAAGAACUUGCACCUGGAACGAUUUAUGCUCACUGAGAACAUUUUAGGGGGCGUUUGGUUCGAUUUAUCCAUCGGACCAGAUCCCAGGGAAUCAGUUUCCGGUUUAAAUUAAACCGUUUGGUUCAUUUUUGUGAAAAAUCGGUUCGGAGUCAUGGUGGCCAGUAGAAUCAGGGUAACCAACUAAAAACCAUGAUUCAUCCGGAUUAACCUCAAUAGGUUAAUCCGGAAUCGAGUCAUGGUUCCGGAGGUUCGUAUAAAAGCGAUGGAUUCAACUGGAGUUCAUUUCCACAUCAUCCUGCGAUUCUGCCGGUGAAGUCCGACCGAGGUUCAGCGACGGUGAAGCAACAGCUCGCAUCUGAGAAGAACACCUAAAACCGAGUUGAUUGAAGGUUGUAACUUCAUAUCUAGGGUUUACCCUAUUUCCAAAUCAGACGAUCGACUCCAAGGUUU